CAGUCGCCGCGGGAAUACGUAGGUGGCAAGCGUUGUCCGGAAUUAUUUGGCGUAAAGGGCUCGCAGGCGGUUUCUUAAGUCUGAUGUGAAAGCUCCCGGCUCAACCGGGGAGGGUCAUUGGAAACUGGGAAACUUGAGUGCAGAAGAGGAGAGUGGAAUUCCACGUGUAGCGGUGAAAUGCGUAGAGAUGUGGAGGAACACCAGUGGCGAAGGCGACUCUCUGGUCUGUAACUGACGCUGAGGAGCGAAAGCGUGGGGGGCGAACAGGAUUAGAUACCCGAGUAGUCCCUGUCUCUUAUAC
Molecule: ribosomal RNA, 301 nt
Filed under: uncultured bacterium
Lineage: Bacteria
Description: partial 16S ribosomal RNA
Rfam family: Bacterial small subunit ribosomal RNA
Source: RNAcentral